This 1306-nucleotide ribosomal RNA is filed under the name uncultured bacterium. RNAcentral describes it as "bacterial SSU rRNA". It matches the Rfam family "Bacterial small subunit ribosomal RNA", at positions 28 to 1381 of the family's 1533-position model. The record is from RNAcentral.
AACGUACGCUGGCGGCACGCCUAACACAUGCAAGUCGAACGAAGUAGCAAUACUUAGUGGCAGACGGGUGAGUAACAUGUAGGUAUCUGCCCUUUGGCCUGGAAUAACACGAGGAAACUUGUGCUAAUACCGGAUAAGUCUUUACGGAGAAAGCUUUAUGCACCAUUGGAUGAGCCUGCACUUGAUUAGUUUGUUGGUGGGGUAAUGGCCUACCAAGACUGUGAUCAAUAGCUGAUUUGAGAGGAUGAUCAGCCACAUUGGGACUGAGACACGGCCCAAACUCCUACGGGAGGCAGCAGUGGGGAAUCUUGCACAAUGGAGGAAACUCUGAUGCAGCGAUGCCGCGUGAGUGAAGAAGGCCUUUGGGUUGUAAAGCUCUUUCGUCGGGGAAGAAAAUGACUGUACCCGAAUAAGAAGGUCCGGCUAACUUCGUGCCAGCAGCCGCGGUAAUACGAAGGGACCUAGCGUAGUUCGGAAUUACUGGGCUUAAAGAGUUCGUAGGUGGUUGAAAAAGUUAGUGGUGAAAUCCCAGAGCUUAACUCUGGAACUGCCAUUAAAACUUUUCAGCUAGAGUAUGAUAGAGGAAAGCAGAAUUUCUAGUGUAGAGGUGAAAUUCGUAGAUAUUAGAAAGAAUACCAAUUGCGAAGGCAGCUUUCUGGAUCAUUACUGACACUGAGGAACGAAAGCAUGGGUAGCGAAGAGGAUUAGAUACCCUCGUAGUCCAUGCCGUAAACGAUGUGUGUUAGACGUUGGAAAUUUAUUUUCAGUGUCGCAGGGAAACCGAUAAACACACCGCCUGGGGAGUACGACCGCAAGGUUAAAACUCAAAUGAAUUGACGGGGACCCGCACAAGUAGUGGAGCAUGUGGUUUAAUUCGAAGAUACGCGCAGAACCUUACCAACACUUGACAUGUUCGUCGCGACUCUAAGAGAUUAGAGUUUUCGGUUCGGCCGGACGAAACACAGGUGCUGCAUGGCUGUCGUCAGCUCGUGUCGUGAGAUGUUGGGUUAAGUCCCGCAACGAGCGCAACCCUCACUUUUAGUUGCCAUCAUUAAGUUGGGCACUCUGAAAGAACUGCCAGUGAUAAGCUGGAGGAAGGUGGGGAUGACGUCAAGUCCUCAUGGCCCUUACGUGUUGGGCUACACACGUGCUACAAUGGUAUCUACAACAGGAAGCAAGACUGCGAAGUUAAGCAAAUCCCUAAAAGAUACCUCAGUUCGGAUUGCACUCUGCAACUCGAGUGCAUGAAGCUGGAAUUACUAGUAAUCGUGGAUCAGCGUGCCACGGUGAAUGCGUUCCCGGGUCU